Molecule: transfer RNA, 81 nt
Filed under: Echinostoma caproni
Lineage: Eukaryota; Metazoa; Platyhelminthes; Trematoda; Plagiorchiida; Echinostomatidae
Rfam family: tRNA
About the family: Transfer RNA (tRNA) molecules are approximately 80 nucleotides in length.
Source: Rfam by way of RNAcentral
GGCCUCGUAGCUCAGCUGGUAUGCAUGCGCGUACAAAGCGUAGGCGGUGUCCAUGCGUGGGUUCCAACCCCACCGAGGCUA